UACGAAGGGUGCAAGCGUUACUCGGAAUUACUGGGCGUAAAGCGUGCGUAGGUGGUUUGUUAAGUCUGAUGUGAAAAGCCCUGGGCUCAACCUGGGAAUUGCAUUGGAUACUGGCAGGCUAGAGUGCGGUAGAGGGUAGUGGAAUUCCCGGUGUAGCAGUGAAAUGCGUAGAGAUCGGGAGGAACACCAGUGGCGAAGGCGGCUCUCUGGACGGAUACUGACGCUGAGACGCGAAAGCGUGGGGAGCAAACAGG
Molecule: ribosomal RNA, 254 nt
Filed under: uncultured bacterium
Lineage: Bacteria
Description: partial 16S ribosomal RNA
Rfam family: Bacterial small subunit ribosomal RNA
Source: RNAcentral